AUAAGGGCAGAGCCCUCAUGGUUGGGAUUAGUACCUUAUGAAAGGGCUAGAGGGAACUAGGUAGGGAUCUUUUGUUUUUUUUGUUCCUUCCGCCAUGUGAAGACACAGCAUUACUGCCAUCCAGAAGUCACAAUGACAAGGUGCCAGCUUAGAAGUAGAGAUUGAGCCCUCAUCAGACACCAAAUACUAUCAUCUUGGUCUUGGACUUCCAGACUCCAGAACUGCUGGAGUGCAGUGACAUGAUUUUGACUCACUGCAACCUCUGCCUCUCAGGUUCAAGCGAUUCUUGUGCCUCAGAUUCCCAAGUAGCUAGGAUUACAGGUCCUGAAAAGGUUGCAUCAGCCCUUUAGCCAUUACCUGCCUCUUGAUGAAGCGUCAGAGCAGGUGUGCAUACACCUGCCAGCACAGAAAAACCUUAACGUAAAGUUGAAUACAAAAAGAAAGAGUCAAAGGUCAGAGAGGAGGGAGAAGGCUGUGCUAAACAAGGUGCUGGCAGUGUCAGGAGCUGGCCUCCUGCCCUCUGGGUUGAGAGAUAUCGAGUGCUGCUUUGCCAAGAGCUGCUUUCUUGAGC
This 571-nucleotide small RNA is filed under the name Pan troglodytes (chimpanzee). Its description in RNAcentral is "processed transcript". The record is from RNAcentral. Lineage: Eukaryota; Metazoa; Chordata; Mammalia; Primates; Hominidae.